Molecule: long non-coding RNA, 855 nt
Filed under: Helianthus annuus (common sunflower)
Lineage: Eukaryota; Viridiplantae; Streptophyta; Magnoliopsida; Asterales; Asteraceae
Description: hypothetical non coding rna
Source: RNAcentral
UGGAAGAUUUUUUUUCAGUUCAAAAAAAAAGGAAAUUCAACACUUGAAUACACUGGUAUGAUUGAUGCAUUCAGGAAAACCGUUCGUUAUGAGGGUUUCGGCGCUUUGUACAAGGGUUUGGUCCCCAACUCAGUCAAGGUGGUUCCAUCGAUACGAUUGUGUUUGUGACAUAUGAGGUGGUUAAGGAUGUACUCGAGGUAGAGAUGAGGAUAUCCGAUUAAUGAAACAAAACGUCACAAACUCUUGUUAAUUAUUUUAUUUUAGUGCUUAAUCUGCACCAUUUAUGGAAAGAUAAGGCUAAAAGUGGGAUUUCAUUGGGUUUAGUUAUUUGUAUGGAAAAAUACAACUCAAAUUUGUAUUUUGGUCGGAUGUGUGGGCAUCGGAUGAAUCUUUGGCUGUGAAGUUUCCAUUAUUAUUCGCAUUGAUAAAGACAAAGGUUGGGUCUGUGGCUAGCUGAGUGGCAGGGGAUUCAUGUGGCUGGAAGUGGGUUUGCUCAGUUGGUGUGGCAAGGGGUGUCUCAGUAGUGCAAGGUGCAGUCCGUAUUUGCCUUUCGGACCCGAGAUAUCUUGGAUCUUCAUCAAUACAUGAGCGGGCCGGAGAAGUUCAGCAUGCGGUCCAAACAAGUAGGGUUGGAUUGGGAUAUGUGGAAUCCCGGGUUUAGACUAUACAUAAAGUGGGUUGGUAAUAGAAUGCUCUGCAAUAUGUUUUCUCAUUCUGUAUGUUUCUAUUUUCCUUGUUUAGCUGUACGUAUUGGUGUAACAUAGCCAAUGACUAGUGGUUGGUGGAUUAAAUGAAUAAAAGUCCUUUUGUUUCCCUAUGCAUAUUUGGUCAACGUUUUUAUCAAUUUAUUGAUGG